CCUACGGGUGGCAGCAGUGGGGAAUAUUGCACAAUGGGGGAAACCCUGAUGCAGCGACGCCGCGUGAGUGAAGAAGUAAUUCGUUAUGUAAAGCUCUAUCAGCAGGGAAGAAAAUGACGGUACCUGAGUAAGAAGCCCCGGCUAACUACGUGCCAGCAGCCGCGGUAAUACGUAGGGGGCAAGCGUUAUCCGGAUUUACUGGGUGUAAAGGGAGCGUAGACGGCAGUGCAGGUCUGUAGUGAAAGUCGGGGGCUCAACCCCCGGACUGCUCUGGAAACUGUACGGCUUGAGUGCAGGUGAGGUAAGUGGAAUUCCUAGUGUAGCGGUGAAAUACGUAGAUAUUAGGAGGAACACCAAUGGCGAAGGCGGCUUACUGAGCUAUAACUGACGUUGAGGCUCGAAAGCGUGGGGAGCAAACAGGAUUAGAUACCCUGGUAGUC
Molecule: ribosomal RNA, 440 nt
Filed under: uncultured bacterium
Lineage: Bacteria
Description: partial 16S ribosomal RNA
Rfam family: Bacterial small subunit ribosomal RNA
Source: RNAcentral